RNAcentral lists this microRNA precursor (84 nucleotides) under Pan paniscus (pygmy chimpanzee). Its description in RNAcentral is "mir-548 microRNA precursor family". It matches the Rfam family "mir-548 microRNA precursor family". Lineage: Eukaryota; Metazoa; Chordata; Mammalia; Primates; Hominidae. RNAcentral also lists the same sequence under 1 other name. The record is from Rfam by way of RNAcentral.
UAUUAGGUUGGUGCAAAAAUAAUCGCGGUUUUUGCCAUUAAAAGUAAUUGCAAAAACCGCGAUUACUUUUGCACCAACCUAGUA